This 429-nucleotide ribosomal RNA is filed under the name Chloroflexota bacterium. RNAcentral's name for it is "Chloroflexi bacterium partial 16S ribosomal RNA". It matches the Rfam family "Bacterial small subunit ribosomal RNA", at positions 355 to 776 of the family's 1533-position model. The record is from RNAcentral. Lineage: Bacteria; Bacillati; Chloroflexota.
UGGGGAAUAUUGCACAAUGGGCGCAAGCCUGAUGCAGCCAUGCCGCGUGUGUGAAGAAGGCCUUCGGGUUGUAAAGUACUUUCAGUCGGGAGGAAGGUGGUAAGGUUAAUAACCUUGGCGAUUGACGUUACCCGCAGAAGAAGCACCGGCUAACUCCGUGCCAGCAGCCGCGGUAAUACGGAGGGUGCAAGCGUUAAUCGGAAUUACUGGGCGUAAAGCGCACGCAGGCGGUCUGUCAAGUCGGAUGUGAAAUCCCCGGGCUCAACCUGGGAACUGCAUUCGAAACUGGCAGGCUAGAGUCUUGUAGAGGGGGGUAGAAUUCCAGGUGUAGCGGUGAAAUGCGUAGAGAUCUGGAGGAAUACCGGUGGCGAAGGCGGCCCCCUGGACAAAGACUGACGCUCAGGUGCGAAAGCGUGGGGAGCAAACAGG